RNAcentral lists this ribosomal RNA (487 nucleotides) under Lactococcus lactis. Its description in RNAcentral is "bacterial SSU rRNA". It matches the Rfam family "Bacterial small subunit ribosomal RNA", at positions 12 to 481 of the family's 1533-position model. The record is from RNAcentral. Lineage: Bacteria; Bacillati; Bacillota; Bacilli; Lactobacillales; Streptococcaceae.
UUUGUACCUGGCUCAGGACGAACGCUGGCGGCGUGCCUAAUACAUGCAAGUUGAGCGCUGAAGGUUGGUACUUGUACCGACUGGAUGAGCAGCGAACGGGUGAGUAACGCGUGGGGAAUCUGCCUUUGAGCGGGGGACAACAUUUGGAAACGAAUGCUAAUACCGCAUAAAAACUUUAAACACAAGUUUUAAGUUUGAAAGAUGCAAUUGCAUCACUCAAAGAUGAUCCCGCGUUGUAUUAGCUAGUUGGUGAGGUAAAGGCUCACCAAGGCGAUGAUACAUAGCCGACCUGAGAGGGUGAUCGGCCACAUUGGGACUGAGACACGGCCCAAACUCCUACGGGAGGCAGCAGUAGGGAAUCUUCGGCAAUGGACGAAAGUCUGACCGAGCAACGCCGCGUGAGUGAAGAAGGUUUUCGGAUCGUAAAACUCUGUUGGUAGAGAAGAACGUUGGUGAGAGUGGAAAGCUCAUCAAGUGACGGUAACUA